GCCAGUGGCGAUGGCACGUGGAAUGCACCAGAUCCUCAUAGAUCACUGAAGCUAACCAACGUUGUGCAUGGUUGGUAUCUGAAUGGGUGACCAUGUCCAGAUCGUGUUUUGCUGGCU
This 117-nucleotide ribosomal RNA is filed under the name Diaphorina citri (Asian citrus psyllid). Lineage: Eukaryota; Metazoa; Arthropoda; Insecta; Hemiptera; Psyllidae. The record is from RNAcentral.